Molecule: ribosomal RNA, 536 nt
Filed under: uncultured bacterium
Lineage: Bacteria
Description: bacterial SSU rRNA
Rfam family: Bacterial small subunit ribosomal RNA
Source: RNAcentral
CCUGGCCUUGACAUACUAAGAACUUUCCAGAGAUGGAUUGGUGCCUUUCGGGAACUUAGAUACAGGUGCUGCAUGGCUGUCGUCAGCUCGUGUCGUGAGAUGUUGGGUUAAGUCCGCAACGAGCGCAACCCUUUUCCUUAUUUGCCAGCGGGUAAUGCCGGGAACUUUAAGGAUACUGCCAGUGACAAACUGGAGGAAGGCGGGGACGACGUCAAGUCAUCAUGGCCCUUACGGCCAGGGCUACACACGUGCUACAAUGGUCGGUACAAAGGGUUGCUACCUCGCGAGAGGAUGCUAAUCUCAAAAAGCCGAUCGUAGUCCGGAUCGCAGUCUGCAACUCGACUGCGUGAAGUCGGAAUCGCUAGUAAUCGCGGAUCAGAAUGCCGCGGUGAAUACGUUCCCGGGCCUUGUACACACCGCCCGUCACACCAUGGGAGUUUGUUGCACCAGAAGUAGGUAGUCUAACCGCAAGGAGGACGCUUACCACGGUGUGGCCGAUGACUGGGGUGAAGUCGUAACAAGGUAAGCGUAGAUGA